GCCAGCUUGGAGGACAGCCUGAGGGAGGUGGAAGCCCACUAUGCCCUGCAGAUGGAGCACCUCAAUGGGAUCCUGCUGCACCUGUAGUCAGAGUUGGCACAGGUCCAGGCCCAGGAGUACAAGGCCCUGCUCAACAUCAAAGUCAAGCAGGCCCAGGAGUACAAGGCCCCGCUGAACAUCAAAGUCAAGCAGGAGGCUGAGAUCACCACCUACCGCCGCCUGCUGGAAGAUGGCAAGGACUUCAAUCUAGGUGAUGCCCUGGACAGCAGCAACUCCAUGCAAACCAUCAAAAAGACCACCACCCGCCAGAGAAUGGAUGGCAAAGUGCUGUCUGAGACCAAUGACACCAAAUUGAGACAU
This 360-nucleotide long non-coding RNA is filed under the name Homo sapiens (human). Its description in RNAcentral is "non-protein coding lnc-ZNF85-6:1". Lineage: Eukaryota; Metazoa; Chordata; Mammalia; Primates; Hominidae. The record is from RNAcentral.